GUAGAUACUUAGUUUAUAGUGUAAACAGAAAUAGAUGACUGUUGGAAAGGUAGUUCAGUAGUUAAAAUGGAUGAAUAGUUAGGAAAAGUAAUUUUCAUUAGAGAUGUAGCAGUUGGUAUCUCGUGGUAGGAUAAAGAGGAUGAGAGAGAGGAAGAAACUGCCAUUACUGUGAUAGUGUGAGCCGGGGUAAGCUUGGUGCUACCUCUUUUCUUUUGUUGUUAUGUUCUUUGAAAUAAGAGUAUUGAGAGUUUUUGAAUAUUGUGAAGUGAAUCAUGGAAUGAAAGUGUGAAUGGAAUUAUAUGUUAUUGAAUGAGAAGAAGAGAGAUUGAAUGCUGAAAUCUGAAUGUAGUUCAGUAGAAAGAGUGAAUCUAUGGUUGUGUGAAACACUAUAAUAUGAAUGGUAGUUCUGUGUGAAGAAUUCCAGUAAUUGGAAUGAAGGUAAUUGUGUGCUGAAGCUGUGAUGUUGCGGUAUUACAGUUGGAGAUUAUAAGAGUGAAGAUAUAUUGGUAGAAAUAACAGUUAUUGGUAUGACUGAAUUGUUGUAAGGAAGAGAUUGAUAAGGUGAAAUGAGAGAUUAUAGUUUCCUUGUGUGCUUAGACAAUGGAAAUAGAGACGAUACAUUGGAGGUAAUUAAUUGUGUGAUCCUAACGUGAAUGCUCAAGCAACUAGUCACUCCCCGUGUUCGAAUUCCCCUAUACAGGUUUAUUCUGGGAGGUUCCUUUCGGAAUAAGUAAAACGAUCAACCACAUUUUGGCGCCGCUGCCGGGGAGUGAUAAUAGCUUUGAGCAUUAGGAAUUAAUUACAAACGUGUGAGAAAAUGGGCAAUGGAAGACGAUUUCAGUAGUGUUUGAAGAAAGAUUAUGGUUAAUAAGAACGAGAGCAUUGCAUCGAGGAAAAUAAAUCAGUUGAGAGAAAGACAGGGAAGAGCGCAAAGAAGGAACUUGCG
This 946-nucleotide long non-coding RNA is filed under the name Physcomitrium patens. RNAcentral describes it as "long non-coding RNA (PPAT_LNC013222)". The record is from RNAcentral. Lineage: Eukaryota; Viridiplantae; Streptophyta; Bryopsida; Funariales; Funariaceae.